RNAcentral lists this ribosomal RNA (460 nucleotides) under uncultured bacterium. Its description in RNAcentral is "partial 16S ribosomal RNA". It matches the Rfam family "Bacterial small subunit ribosomal RNA", at positions 338 to 795 of the family's 1533-position model. The record is from RNAcentral.
CCUACGGGAGGCAGCAGUGAGGAAUAUUGGUCAAUGGGCGGAAGCCUGAACCAGCCAAGUAGCGUGCAGGAUGACGGCCCUACGGGUUGUAAACUGCUUUUAUACGGGAAUAACGCGUCCUACGUGUAGGGUGUUGCAUGUACCGUAUGAAUAAGGAUCGGCUAAUUCCGUGCCAGCAGCCGCGGUAAUACGGAAGGUGCGGGCGUUAUCCGGAUUUAUUGGGUUUAAAGGGUGCGUAGGCCGCGUGUCAAGUUUGUGGUGAAAUGGCCGGGCUCAACCCGGGCCUUGCAGCGCGGACUGGCGUGCUUGAGUCCGCGGAAGGCAGGCGGAAUUCGUCGUGUAGCGGUGAAAUGCUUAGAUAUGACGAAGAACCCCGAUUGCGAAGGCAGCUUGCUGCAGCGGAACUGACGCUGAUGCUCGAGAGCGCGGGUAUCGAACAGGAUUAGAUACCCGGGUAGUC